Long non-coding RNA from Nymphaea colorata (pocket water lily), 576 nucleotides. RefSeq lists it as uncharacterized. NCBI's taxonomy places the organism in Eukaryota, Viridiplantae, Streptophyta, Magnoliopsida, Nymphaeales, Nymphaeaceae. The transcript is spliced from 3 exons. The record is from RefSeq and is a predicted model, not a curated record.
UUUCCAUCUCUCCACUUCUCCAAAAGAAACGCCAGACAAUCGAUAGAUUGAAUCUCUUUUCAGAACUUCUCCUUCAAGCUUCUUUCUUUCGACCAAUUUGGUGUAAAGCUUUUUGUUUACCGUCUCCUUUUUGGCAGGGGUCACAUCAAUUGCUCAUAGCAGGACGCAGUAGAUGAUGUUGGGAGCACGCCAUUUUUUCCACUGAUCGCUCAUGACAGGAUGCAGUACAUGAUGCUGAGACCAUGCCCUUCUUUUCCACUGACUGCUGAUGACACAAGGUGCUCAUCCUCUCCUAGCAGGUUGCUGCUGAGUAUCUAUGUUGCCAUACCUAAUCACCCAUCCUCUUGAUCUUGUCAUCUAUCGAAACUUAUCUCUAAAGUUCGAAAGCAUGACGAACUUAAGAAUGUGAAGUAGAUGGGGAAGGGAUCGCGUUUGGGGAGCAGCAAUCAACUGCAAAAUUUAAUUGCACGAUAGAGUUUAUCACUACAGAAUAGCUCAUGAUGAACAUAGUCAAAAGAGAACCAUAACACUCCUGUAAUGUAUUCUUUGUGAAUCAGAAGCAGCAAUUCCAAACAG